GUCUACGGCCACGCCACCCUGAACAAGCCCGAUCCCAGAAGCUAAGCAGGGUCAGGCCUGGUUAGUACUUGAAUGAGAGACCACCUAGGAAGACUGGAUGCUGUAGGCG
This 109-nucleotide ribosomal RNA is filed under the name Pteropus alecto (black flying fox). Lineage: Eukaryota; Metazoa; Chordata; Mammalia; Chiroptera; Pteropodidae. The record is from RNAcentral.